This 333-nucleotide ribosomal RNA is filed under the name uncultured bacterium. RNAcentral's name for it is "partial 16S ribosomal RNA". It matches the Rfam family "Bacterial small subunit ribosomal RNA", at positions 338 to 668 of the family's 1533-position model. The record is from RNAcentral.
CCUACGGGUGACAGCAGUGAGGAAUAUUGGGCAAUGGACGCAAGUCUGAACGAGCCAUGCCGCGUGAAGGAAGACGGCGCUAUGAGGUGUAAAGUGCUGUUGUAAGAGGGGAAACGCAGAUACGCGUAGCUUUCUGAAAGUAGCGUACGAAUAAGGAUCGGCUAACUCCGUGCCAGCAGGCGCGGGAAUACGGAGGAUUCAAGCGUUAGCCGGAUUGAUUGGGGUGAACGGGUGCGUCGGCGGUCGGGUAAGUUAGAGGUGACAUCCCGAGGCUCCCCUUCGGAAUUGCCUGUUAUACUGUUCGGCUAGAGCGCAGUUGCGGUAGGCGGCAUG